UGGCUCAGUACGAACGCUGGCGGCGUGCCUAAUACAUGCAAGUCGAGCGAACAGAAGGGAGCUUGCUCCCGGAUGUUAGCGGCGGACGGGUGAGUAACACGUGGGUAACCUGCCUGUAAGACUGGGAUAACUCCGGGAAACCGGAGCUAAUACCGGAUAGUUCCUUGAACCGCAUGGUUCAAGGAUGAAAGACGGUUUCGGCUGUCACUUACAGAUGGACCCGCGGCGCAUUAGCUAGUUGGUGGGGUAAUGGCUCACCAAGGCGACGAUGCGUAGCCGACCUGAGAGGGUGAUCGGCCACACUGGGACUGAGACACGGCCCAGACUCCUACGGGAGGCAGCAGUAGGGAAUCUUCCGCAAUGGACGAAAGUCUGACGGAGCAACGCCGCGUGAGUGAUGAAGGUUUUCGGAUCGUAAAGCUCUGUUGUUAGGGAAGAACAAGUGCGAGAGUAACUGCUCGCACCUUGACGGUACCUAACCAGAAAGCCACGGCUAACUACGUGCCAGCAGCCGCGGUAAUACGUAGGUGGCAAGCGUUGUCCGGAAUUAUUGGGCGUAAAGGGCUCGCAGGCGGUUUCUUAAGUCUGAUGUGAAAGCCCCCGGCUCAACCGGGGAGGGUCAUUGGAAACUGGGAAACUUGAGUGCAGAAGAGGAGAGUGGAAUUCCACGUGUAGCGGUGAAAUGCGUAGAGAUGUGGAGGAACACCAGUGGCGAAGGCGACUCUCUGGUCUGUAACUGACGCUGAGGAGCGAAAGCGUGGGGAGCGAACAGGAUUAGAUACCCUGGUAGUCCACGCCGUAAACGAUGAGUGCUAAGUGUUAGGGGGUUUCCGCCCCUUAGUGCUGCAGCUAACGCAU
Molecule: ribosomal RNA, 858 nt
Filed under: Bacillus sp. (in: firmicutes)
Lineage: Bacteria; Bacillati; Bacillota; Bacilli; Caryophanales; Bacillaceae
Description: bacterial SSU rRNA
Rfam family: Bacterial small subunit ribosomal RNA
Source: RNAcentral